RNAcentral lists this transfer RNA (71 nucleotides) under Neptunicoccus cionae. RNAcentral describes it as "Amylibacter cionae tRNA-Phe". Lineage: Bacteria; Pseudomonadati; Pseudomonadota; Alphaproteobacteria; Rhodobacterales; Paracoccaceae. The record is from RNAcentral.
GUUUGAUGGUGGCGCUGACCGUCUGGGCGUUGAAGCCGCCCGCAUGUCUGUUCUAGCCGGACGUCAGGCCC